Molecule: long non-coding RNA, 1413 nt
Organism: Triticum dicoccoides
Lineage: Eukaryota; Viridiplantae; Streptophyta; Magnoliopsida; Poales; Poaceae
Exons: 3
Source: RefSeq, a predicted model, not a curated record
UGCCAUCGCAAUCGAAUCAGAUCCUCAACGGCCGCUAUCCCAAUCGGAUCACCUCACCCUCAACCGACCGCUGCGCCUCUGGCUUGUCAUCGCAAGACCUCCCAUUGGUGUGAUCCUCCUUCCCCUCCUCACUUGAUUUCAUCCUUGCCAUCGAGUGGUCUUCAAGGGGAUACCGGUGACUCCUCCGAUGGUGGUUGUGGGGUCGUCCGGAGAGGCGGGAAGCAGCGGCGCAUUGGCGGACCGACCGGAAGUUGCCUCAUGCUAGGGUUCCUCCCCACACCCCCGCUGCGCUUCAUCUCCCUCUUGCUGCACCCCUCCCAUCUAUGGUGUCUCUCCCAGUGAGGCAUAGCGACGGGCGUUGGCUGUUCUGGUGCGUGCGCAGCACAUGACGGGCCGAGGGGCGUGGGGUCGAUGGUCGGAGGUCAAAGGCGAGCGGGGGUGGCGGCCGGGAUUCGCGUGUGGUAUUCACCGGCUGUCUGCUGGCUGUGUGCGUGGUGCACAAGUGGUAGUAGCAGCAGCCACGGGCUUUUCUCUGAAUUUGCAUCAACAACAGCAAUAGCAGGGUCAUGGACAAGAUCAUCAAAUCCCUCUGAAUUCUUGCCGGUUCAGGUUCUUUCCAUGCACCGGCUGAUCGAGGUGGUGAAGCACAUGUUAGCCGUGUGGAUGGACCUCGGCAACCCCAGCUUCGUCAAUGUCGCCGGUAACGCGUCCGAGAUGAUGUCGCCGAAGUAGCCGGAGUUCUUGACUUACUAUCUUGUCUUCUGAACUACAAUCUCUGAAUUUAUUUAAGGUUACUUCUCAUAUCUCUAUUCUAAAGUAAAUGCAACAUUUGUCUUGCUUGUUAUGUGGAUGUGCAACAGAUUUGUGCUACAAAGAAGGGUUCAUGUGCAAGGAAGCAUAGAAGAUAUGAGGCAAAAAAAAGAAAAUGAUCAAGGGUAGAAUCAUGCUUGGGAAAUCCAUACAAAAAUCUGAAGUAUGGGUGUUUAAAAAUCUUCCCUUUGCGACUGUUUGUAAAUCUGAAGUAUCAAGACUGUUCUAUUCAUAUAUGAUUUUUUAGUAUGAGGCACAAAACACGCUUACUGAUAUAUAGUUUUGAAAUCAUGCUUGGGAUUUUCUCCCUCCCAUGUUAUAUCCAAUAUUUGCUGUCAAACCUGAACCUGAAUAUCCCGAACCAUUUUCAUUUGUAUUUGAUAGUAGGAUAAAUAACUGCUCCAAAGUCAUCAAGCCAUCAUCAUUCACGGGUUUAAUUUGCAGGUGCUCUACAAGAAUAGAGUUGCGGUUCUGAAAUAAUAGAUGUUCAUCCAAACCUUGCUUGAGUGCAGGUCCAUGAGUCCAGCCUACAGACAACUCAUACAACAAAACAGAGUGAACAACUUAAUCUCUUGUAUGCCUAACUAUGCGGAUAUAGGUAAC